GGGUGGGAUAAUGGAAUAAAUUGGCUUCUUCAUGGUGGCUUCUGCCUACUCUUGCUUGUUAGACUUCUGGAAGCUUCUGAAGGUUGCAGACAUUUUCCUUUAGGGCUACAUAAGUGCUCUUGCAGUAUCAAACAUUCAGAGAUGAGGUUCUAAAACAACUCUGUGGUUUAAAUGCCUUGAUUUUUCUUUCCAUUUCCAGUUGUGGGUAACUGGAUCUUUGAGUGUGGUGCUUCUGCAUAUUCAUAAUUACCUGUCACUUUCCCUCUUGUUCUUUGGAGUUAUCUGAGUUUAGCAGAAAGAGCUGAGACAGUUGGAGUCCUGCAUCCCUUUGUAACCCCAGCUCUGAGUAUUCAGAAUCGAGGAGGACACUCAGAUAGCUGCAGUGGAUCCUGCUUUCCAGAAAGUUCCUAAGGCUCAGAGACACCAUGGACUCCUCUCACUAGUGUGAAUAUUCAGCAGCAAUGUUCUCUCAGCCCAUGAUUUCUAUAGUAAAUUUCUUCCACUAUUCUACCACUGGGGGGCAGCAUAUGUUUUCCUUAAAAGCAGAUAUCAUUCUCCUUUAUGAAUUUGCCUCUGCAGAAUACCGCUGCAGACAUCCCAUGCUGAGUCAUGUGAUCAGUGAGCCAUUUCUGAGCAGUAGUUAACAGUUGGAAGGUGUGUAAUAUUUCUCCAAGUUAGACAUUGCAUAAAUUGAUGGUAUAAAUAUCUUGUCUAAUGGUUCCUCUGUUUCUUUUCAUUCACGUGUUAGGUUGGUUCUGUGACCACUCUAUCCCUUUCUCCUUUGUUAUUUUUACAUAGUGGUAAAUAGUUCAUGUGCUGUUUUAAUAGGUAUGGACCAGGAUCAAGUGUUACAUUUUAGUUGCCGUGGGUCUUGCUUAAGGUCAUGGAGCCACUUAGGAAGCCUGUAGGGUAGGUUCCUCUGACUCGGCACACGCUGUUUCUUGCUUCAGAUAGACGUGAAAUGCCUCAGAGAGGGACACUGCCAAAUGCUGGAAUAUCUACAAGGCUUUAUCCAAAAAGUUCCUGAAAUCUCUGCUUCAGAAUCUGCGUAUGCAAGAGGAUCAGUGGGUCCUAGAUCCCAUAAACGGGUAUUCCUUCCAGUUACAAGCCAUACCAUAUCUCAACUCCAUUUAUUUUUUUCAAGCAUUCUUCUCAGAAACUGCUGCAAAAGGAGGUCUUGGCAACCAUACUGGGAAAGGCUCUGUUCUAGACCUCUGCAAAUUGAAGAAAUUACCUAAGGAAAACAAAAUUCUAUCUGUCUCUUCUGGGGAGUAUAAUCCUCUCAAUCUUCAAGACUGGUAUGAAACCCUACCUCUGAAGACUUCUCCUUCCACACCUUGAUAAGGCAAAAGCACAGGAAGUAUUUUCGGCAACAACUAAUAUAAGGUUCUUCUCUUUGGACUGGCAGCACCCCUAAAGGUAUUCACCAAAUGCUUGGCAGUGUUCACAGUUAAUCUGUAUGGGGGGCCUUAGGUAUAUCCAUACCUGGAUGACUGUCUGCUAAAAGAUCAGUCUUUCCUGCAAGGCAAGAGUUACCGUGCUGUGCCUUGCUGCUUCUUCAUAUCUAUACAGUAAACUGAAUAUAUCUUGGCUACAGCUCAAGGGCUAGUCUUCCUGCAGAAUCUGAGGGGACCUUCUGUGAGCUCUAGCUUGACUGCCUAGGGAAAUGGUCCAAGAAUUCAUCCAGAGAAUGGAGGUAGCAAAGUCUAGAUUAGAAGGCCCAGUGAAAUUAUCUGAGUGAGCCUGAUGUCUACUGCACUUUUGUCUCCAACUUUGCAAGGCUUCAGGUGUACAACCCUUGCAAGGGUGGCUGAAUCUGGUGUAAAAACCAAACAAUCACAGUUGGAUGUGAGUGUUUCCACUUCAGAAAGUCCAGUACUCACUCUUUGGCAGUAUUUACCCACAGCAAUCUUCAAGGUUUUAAUUGGAUGAUUAAUCAGAUAAUAGUCUUGGUUGACUCGUCUCAGUAGAGGUCUUAAAAGCACUCUUCAAACUUAAUCAUGGUGUGUGGAAGCCUCAGGAAUGAAACUUCACAUCCUCUUCCUUGAAUUAGGAGCCAUCAGACUCUAUCAUAAAUCUAUCCUUCCACAGAUUGAAGGGUAAUUAAUGUAGAUUCCUACAGAUAAUAUGGUUAUGAUUGAGGCUUCGAUUGAAUCACAGAUAUUUUUAAUACAAGUCAUGGAUAGGUCAUGGACAAUAAACAAAAAAUCACGGCCUGUGACCUGUCCAUGACUUGUACUAUAAAUACUCCUGACUAAAUCUUGGGGGGCUUUGGGGUGCUGCUGCUGCUUGGGAAGGAGGGGCAGGGUCCUGCCACUGCUACUCCAUGAGUGAGGAUGUCAGCAGCCCAGGGUCCUGCUGCUGCUGGUCCAGGCAGAACCCAGGACUGCUGUUGCUCUGGCGGCCCCUGGGACCAGAUGCCUGGGGCCACCCCAACUGCUUGGGCAACCCUAGGGUCAGCCACACUGGCCACUGCAGAAGUACCAGAAGGUUACAGAAUCUGUGACGUCUGUGAAAGACUUGCAGCCUUAGUUAUGAUAUAUUACUUUGAGAAAGUGGAAGUCGUUGCCUCCAUCAGGAGGCAGCCUUUCUGUAGGAAUUGAGCAUCCAAAAUGAAGAGAACCUGUCUGCUCUAUCCUAUUAGGUUAUAGGCUACAUUUUUAAGCGUACAUCUGAUGCUGAUCAUUACCAGUGGCGACUCAAAGUCUUGGUGGCUCAUCUUGUUAUCUGCCUUAUCUGCCUUGUGGACUCAUCCAGAUAUGGAUUUCUUUGCUACAAAUCAGUACAAUAAGUGUCUGAAGUUUUGCUUGAGCAGGCAAGGAGCCACAGUGCUUAAUGAAUGUCUUUCUUUUACACUGGGAGUUAAGGGAAAGCUGCUUUGUCUUCUCUCAUUUACCAUAUUGAGAGAAAGUAGUCUUAAUCAUGUCAUUCAGGACAUGGCAAACCUAUUUCUCAGAGCUUCCAGCCUGUCCAUUCAUUCUUCUCAUGAGUCAAGUGUUCCUUCACCCAGCAGAGAAACAGGGUUAUGCUUCUGGAUCUCAGAUUCCUUUACUCAGCAGCAUGGCUGGUGAUCUGCUUACUAUGUCUCUGUGAAAGAGACCACAACAUCUGUCAAUCCUGAGACUUCAAAACAUUUUACAAAUGUGUACGUUCUCAUCUAAAAGCCUAUUGAUUUUUUAGACUCUAUUUGCUAGAUUCAUGAAAAGGCCCUUUUGAGCCAUGGAUUCUUGCAUUCAGUAAUACUUCUGGCUGAAGGUGCAAGAUUUAGGCUCUAAGGGUAUGUCUAUGCUACGAAAUUAGGUAGAUUUUUUUUUUUUUUUAGGAAGCGAUUUUAUACAGUUGAUUGUGUGUCCCUACUAAGCACAUUAAGUCUGCGGAGUACGGCCACAGUACUAUGGGUAGGUAUCCCACAGUCUCUUCUGCCCAUUGGAAUUCUGGGUUAAGCUUCCAAUGCCUGAUGAGGCAAAAACAUUGUCGCGGGUGGUUUUGGGUACAUGUCGUCAGUCGUCCCUCCCUCCGUGAAAGCAAUGGCAGACAAGCGUUUCGCGCCUUUGUUCCGUGUGGACGCCAUACUGCUUUCAGCAGAUGGUGCAGUAGGACUGCUAACCGUUGUCAUUGAACCACUGCUUCCGCUGCAACUCUGCUCUCCUGCUCUUGUCUUGAUAGCAAAUUUCUCCAUGUUGUCUGUCAUAGGCUCCCGGGUACGUGUGUUCUUCCUCGGGAAACAUGCGCGGUGCUAACCGUCAUCAUCCACCACUUCUGCUGCAACUCUGCUGUGCUGUUAUUGUCUCAGUAGCAAAUUUCUCCAUGUUUGGCUGUCAUGGGCUCCCGCUUCCGCUGCAACUCUGCUUUCCUGCAGACGUCAUACCACGGCAAGCAUGGAGCCUGCUCAGAUCAUCGCAGCAGUUAUGAGCAUUGUAAACACCUCGCGCAUUAUCCUGUAGUAUGAUCAGGGUCAGAACCAGAACCUGCAAAAGCAGGCGAGGAGGCGACGACAGCGCAGUGACAAGAGUGAUGAGGACAUAGACACAGGCCUCUCUCAAAGUACGGGCACUGGCAAUUUGGACAUCCUGGUGGCAAUGGGGCAGGCUCAUGCCGUGGAAUGCCAAUUCUGGGCCCGGGAAACAAGCACAGACUGGUGGGACUGCAUAGUGUUGCAAGUAGAGGACGAUUCCCAGUGGCUGCAAAACUUUCGUAUGCAUAAGGGCACUUUCAUGGAACUUUGACUUGCUUUCCCCUGCCCUAAAGCGCAGGAAUAUCAAGAUGAGAGCAGCCCUCACAGUUCACAAGCGAGUGGCUUUAGCCCUCUGGAAGCUUGCAAUGCCAGACAGCUACCAGUCAGGAAUCAAUUUGGAGUUGGCAAAUCUACUGUGGGGGGCUGCUGUGAUCCAAGUAGCCAACGCAAUCACUGAACUGCUGCUAUCAAGGGUAGUGACUCUGGGAAAUGUGCAGGUCAUAGUGGAUGGCUUUGCUGCAAUGAGAUUCCCUAACUGUGGUGGGGCGAUAGACGGAACGCGUAUCCCUAUCUUGGGACCGGACCACCUUGGCAGCCAGUACAUGAACCAAAAGGGGUACUUUUCAGUGGUGCUGCAAGCACUGAUGGAUUACAAGGGACGUUUCACCAACAUCAACAUGGGAUGGCCGGGAAAGGUACAUGACGCUCGCAUCUUCAGGAAUUCUGGUCUGUUUCAAAAGCUGCAGGAAGGGACUUACUUUCCAGACCAGAAAAUAACUGUUGGGUGACCAUGAAUGAUAUCACUCUCCUGAGCAUAACACAGAGAUAAAGAACGGAUGUUGCUUGAAUGCCAGCAAACUCCAGGACCAUACGCUGCCAUGCUUUCUUAUGCAAGGAUUUCAGACUACGUGCUACUGGCCUGGCGUGGUAAAGUGCCCUACAAUGGAGGACGCAAUGAGGCUGCCCUCCCCAAAACCUUUUGCAAAGGCUUUGGGAGUACCUCCAGGAGAGCUUCGCUGAGAUGUCCCUGGAGGAUUUCCGCUCCAUCCCCAGACACAUUAAGACUUUUCCAGUAGCUGUACUAGCCACGAAUGCAUCCCAAGUCUUCAGGGCAAAUUAAUCAUUAAACACGCUUCCUUUUAAA
This is a non-coding RNA of Caretta caretta (loggerhead turtle), 5099 nucleotides long. Lineage: Eukaryota; Metazoa; Chordata; Testudines; Cheloniidae. The record is from RefSeq and is a predicted model, not a curated record.